CGGGAUGUAGCGUAGUCCGGUUAUCGCGCCUGCUUUGGGAGCAGGAGACCGCCAGUUCGAAUCUGGCCAUCCCGA
Molecule: transfer RNA, 75 nt
Filed under: Bacteroidales bacterium
Lineage: Bacteria; Pseudomonadati; Bacteroidota; Bacteroidia; Bacteroidales
Description: tRNA-Pro
Rfam family: tRNA
About the family: Transfer RNA (tRNA) molecules are approximately 80 nucleotides in length.
Source: RNAcentral